Brachypodium distachyon (stiff brome) is the source of this 136-nucleotide non-coding RNA. The record is from Rfam. NCBI's taxonomy places the organism in Eukaryota, Viridiplantae, Streptophyta, Magnoliopsida, Poales, Poaceae.
GAUGUACUCCCUCCGUCCCAUAUUAAGUGUCACGAUUUUUUCUAAAUACGCAUGUACCUAUACACUAAAAUCUGUCAAGAUACAUCCGUAUUUAGACAAAUUUGCGACACUUAAUAUGGGACGGAGGUAGUAUUAC